Triticum aestivum (bread wheat) is the source of this 695-nucleotide long non-coding RNA. RefSeq lists it as uncharacterized. The transcript has 4 exons. The record is from RefSeq and is a predicted model, not a curated record. Lineage: Eukaryota; Viridiplantae; Streptophyta; Magnoliopsida; Poales; Poaceae.
UCAUUCCAGGCAGGUACUCUAGUCCCACCGCCGGCCUCCGUGCUCCGGCCACCGACGCGUCCCCAUCGGCGCCGUCGCCUGCCUCCAACUCCAAGCCCAAGCCGCGCCGACCGACCUCUCGGCGGUGCUCGUUCUCCCCGCUGCUCUACGUUGAUCGAGGGUAGCCACACCACCUCCAACUCCCCCGACUAACACUGCUCACCGUGCCUCAGGGGCAGGACGAGGAUUCAGAGGAGGAUGGCGAGCUGGGCCAUAAAGACAAGUUCCCGCACAGCACCUGUUCGAUGAAAUGCCCAGGAAGGAGCCACCCAUCGAUGUUGAAAAGUCACCAUCUAAAACUAAAAGAGCUUGAUGCUUUGGAAGCUGAUAUGGACUUCGAAUCAACUCAGUCCCAUCGUACCUCCAACCACACAAGGCGACUGAUCUUUAUUCUGAGCUUAACUAUCCUGCUGCACCAAGUGGUCAUGCAGCAGUCCCGGCAAACCAGCAGCAGGAGGAUGAACUGGGACUAUCUACAGUGCCACACGCAUCAAUUUGUACCUGAAAAGUAACAAAAAAACUAUGUUAUAGGUUUGAUCUCGUUGUAAAUGGUCGGCACUUUGUUUAUGCAUGGACAAAUUCAUUGUAUCUUGCAUCAUAUACCGCUGCAAUUCAUUGAACGAUGAAAUGUCUCUUUCCCAUUGUGUUGGAAUAAU